This is a non-coding RNA of Rattus norvegicus (Norway rat), 7983 nucleotides long. The record is from RefSeq and is a predicted model, not a curated record. Lineage: Eukaryota; Metazoa; Chordata; Mammalia; Rodentia; Muridae.
UCAAAUGCUUUCUCAGCAUCUAAUGAAAUGAUCAUGUGGUUCUGUUCUUUCAGUUUGUUUAUAUAAUGGAUCAUGUUGAUGGUUUUCCGUAUAUUAAACCAUCCCUGCAUGCCUGGGAUGAAGCCUACUUGAUCAUGGUGGAUGAUUGUUUUGAUGUGCUCUUGAAUUCGGUUUGCCAGAAUUUUAUUGAGUAUUUUUGCGUCGAUAUUCAUAACGGAAAUUGGUCUGAAGUUCUCUUUCUUUGUUGUGUCUUUGUGUGGUUUAGGUAUAAGAGUAAUUGUGGCUUCAUAGAAGGAAUUUGGUAGUGCUCCAUCUGUUUCAAUUUUGUGGAAUAGUUUGGAUAAUAUUGGUAUGAGGUCUUCUAUGAAGGUUUGAUAGAAUUCUGCACUAAACCCGUCUGGACCUGGGCUCUUUUUGGUUGGGAGACCUUUAAUGACUGCUUCUAUUUCCUUAGGAGUUAUGGGGUUGUUUAACUGGUUUAUCUGUUCCUGAUUUAACUUCGAUACCUGGUAUCUGUCUAGGAAAUUGUCCAUUUUCUGAAGAUUUUCAAGUUUUGUUGAAUAUAGGUUUUUAUAGUAAGAUCUGAUGAUUUUUUCAAUUUCCUCUGAAUCUGUAGUUAUGUCUCCCUUUUCAUUUCUGAUUUUGUUAAUUUGGACGCACUCUCUGUGUCCUCUCGUGAGUCUGGCUAAGGGUUUAUCUAUCUUGUUGAUUUUCUCAAAGAACCAACUUUUGGUUCUGUUGAUUCUUUCUAUGGUCCUUUUUGUUUCUACUUGGUUGAUUUCAGCUCUGAGUUUGAUUAUUUCCUGCCUUCUACUCCUCCUGGGUGUAUUUGCUUCUUUUUGUUCUAGAGCUUUUAGGUGUGCUGUCAAGCUGCUGACAUAUGCUCUUUCCUGUUUCUUUCUGCAGGCACUCAGCGCUAUGAGUUUUCCUCUUAGCACAGCUUUCAUUGUGUCCCAUAAGUUUGGGUAUGUUGUAUCUUCAUUUUCAUUAAAUUCUAAAAAGUUUUUAAUUUCUUUAUUUCUUCCUUGACCAGGUUAUCAUUGAGUAGAGCAUUGUUCAAUUUCCACGUAUAUGUGGGCAUUCUUCCCUUAUUGUUAUUGAAGACCAGUUUUAGGCCGUGGUGGUCCGAUAGCACGCAUGGGAUUAUUUCUAUCUUUCUGUACCUGUUGAGGCCCGUUUUUUGACCAAUUAUAUGGUCAAUUUUGGAGAAAGUACCAUGAGGAGCUGAGAAGAAGGUAUAUCCUUUUGCUUUAGGAUAGAAUGUUCUAUAAAUAUCCGUUAAGUCCAUUUGGCUCAUGACUUCUCUUAGUCUGUCGACAUCACUGUUUAAUUUCUGUUUCCAUGAUCUGUCCAUUGAUGAGAGUGGGGUGUUGAAAUCUCCCACUAUUAUUGUGUGAGGUGCAAUGUGUGUUUGAGCUUUAUUAAGGUUUCUUUUACGUAUGUAGGUGCCCUUGUAUUUGGGGCAUAGAUAUUUAGGAUUGAGAGUUCAUCUUGGUGGAUUUUUCCUUUGAUGAAUAUGAAGUGUCCUUCCUUAUCUUUUUUGAUGACUUUUAGUUGGAAAUUGAUUUUAUUUGAUAUUAGAAUGGCUACUCCAGCUUGCUUCUUCUGACCAUUUGCUUGGAAAGUUGUUGUCCAGCCUUUCACUCUGAGGUAGUGUCUGUCUUUGUCUCUGAGGUGUGUUUCCUGUAGGCAGCAGAAUGCAGGGUCCUCAUUGCAUAUCCAGUUUCUUAAUCUAUGUCUUUUUAUUGGGGAGUUCAGGCCAUUGAUAUUGAGAGAUAUUAAGGAAUAGUGAUUAUUGCUUCCCGUUAUAUUCAUAUUUGGAUGUGAGGUUAUGUUUGUGUGCUUUCAUUCUCUUUGUUUUGUUGCCAAGACGAUUAGUUUCUUGCUUCUUCGAGGGUAUAGCUUGCCUCCUUAUGUUGGGCUUUACCAUUUAUUAUCCUUUGUAGUGCUGGAUUUGUAGAAAGAUAUUGUGUAAAUUUGGUUUUGUCAUGGAAUAUCUUGGUUUCUCCAUCAAUGUUAAUUGAGAGUUUUGCAGGAUACAGUAACCUGGGCUGGCAUUUGUGUUCUCUUAGGGUCUGUAUGACAUCAGUCCAGGAUCUUCUGGCCUUCAUAGUUUCUGGCGAGAAGUCUGGUGUGAUUCUGAUAGGUCUCCCUUUAUAUGUUACUUGACCUUUUUCCCUUACUGCUUUUAAUAUUCUUUCUUUAUUUUGUGCGUUUGGUGUUUUGACAAUUAUGUGACGGGAGGUGUUUCUUUUCUGGUCCAAUCUAUUUGGAGUUCUGUAGGCUUCUUGUAUGUCUAUGUAUAUCUCUUUUUUUAGGUUAGGGAAGUUUUCUUCUAUGAUUUUGUUGAAGAUAUUUACUGGUCCUUUGAGCUGGGAGUCUUCACUCUCUUCUAUACCUAUUAUCCUUAGGUUUGAUCUUCUCAUUGAGUCCUGGAUUUCCUGUAUGUUUUGAACCAGUAGCUUUUUCCGCUUUACAUUAUCUUUGACAGUUGAGUCAAUGAUUUCUAUGGAAUCUUCUGCUCCUGAGAUUCUCUCUUCCAUCUCUUGUAUUCUGUUGGUGAAGCUUGUAUCUACAGCUCCUUGUCUCUUCUUUUGGUUUUCUAUAUCCAGGGUUGUUUCCAUGUGUUCUUUCUUGAUUGCUUCUAUUUCCAUUUUUAAUUCCUUCAACUGUUUGAUUGUGUUUUCCUGGAAUUCUUUCAGGGAUUUUUGUGUCUCCUCUCUAUGGGCUUCUACUUGUUUAUUUAUGUUUUCCUGGAAUUCUUUCAGGGAUUUUUGUGUCUCCUCUCUAUGGGCUUCUACUUGUUUAUUUAUGUUUUCCUGGAAUUCUUUCAGGGAUUUUUGCGAUUCUUUCAGGCAUUUUUGCGAUUCCUCUCUGUAGGCUUCUACUUGUUCUCUAAGGGAGUUCUUCACGUCUUUCUUGAAGUCCUCCAGCAUCAUGAUCAAAAAUGAUUUUGAAACUAGAUCUUGCUUUUCUGGUGUGUUUGGAUAUUCCAUGUUUGUUUUGAUGGGAGAAUUGGGCUCCGAAGGUGCCAUGUAGUCCUGGUUUCUGUUGCUUGGGUUCCUGCGCUUGCCUCUCGCCAUCAGAUUAUCUCUAGUGUUACUUUGUUCUGCUAUUUCUGACAGUGGCUAGACUAUCCUAUAAGCCUGUGUGUCAGGAGUGCUGUAGACCUGUUUUCCUCUCUUUCAGUCAGUUAUGGGGACAGAGUGUUCUGCUUUCGGGCGUGUAGUUUUUCCUCUCUACAGGUCUUCAGCUGUUCCUGUGGGCCUGUGUCUUGAGUUCACCAGGCAACUUUCUUGCAGCAGAAAAGUUGGUCUUACCUGUGGUCCCGAGGCUCAAGUUCGCUCGUGGGGUGCUGCCCUCGGGCUCUCUGCAGCGGCAGCAACCAGGAAGACCUGUGCUGCCAUUUCCGGGAGCUUCAGUGCACCAGGGUUCCAGAUGGUCUUUGGCUUUUUCCUCUGGCGUCCGAGAUGUGUGUGCAGAGAGCAGUCUCUUCUGGUUUCCCAGGCUUGUCUGCCUCUCUGAAGGUUCAGCUCUCCCUCCCACGGGAUUUGGGUGCAGAGAACUGUUAUCCGGUCUGUUUCCUUCAGGUUCUGGUGGUGUCUCAGGCACAGGGGUCCUGCCGCUCCUGGGCCCUCCCCCACGGGAGCCCAGAGGCCUUAUAUAGUUUCCUCUUGGGCCAGGGAUGUGGGCAGGGGUGAGCAGUGUUGGUGGUCUCUUCUGCUUUGCAGCCUCAGGAGUGCCCACCUGACCAGGCGGUUGGGUCUCUCUCUCACAGGGUCUGGGGGCAGAGAGCUGCUGCGGGCCGGGAUCCGAGGGUCGAGGGAGCUAAUGAGAGAGCAAGUCUGAGAACUAAUGUGAGAGCAAGUGAGAGAGCAUGAGAAGAGAAUGUGAAAAAUGAGUGAAGAGAGAAUGUGAGGUGUGUAUGAAGAUUGCCUAUCAGUUUGUACCCGAAGAGUAGUAUGUGGAUAUUUAUUAUGCGCCUUCCAGAUACCCCUGCUUCCGGUUGAGAACUCUGAUCCUGUGACAGAGGGCCAGGAAAUGCUGAAAGAAAGGCUGCUCCCCUGAGGACAAAGGAUAAAACUUUUUGGCCUAGACCUCCUAAUUUAUCUUUUCACCUGAAGCCUUAAUAUUCAAAUUUUCUUACUGGGAUAUGAUUAUGGUCCUGGUGAACUUCUUGUCUCUUGGAUGCUCAAUCAGUUCUUUGUUGUCACAAACUUUUUGAGCUUACUCCAGUCAAUGGGACUUAUUCAUACCUUCAAAUUUCCUGAACUUUACAGAUUUCCAACAUUUGUGGCAAACUUAGUGACAAAAGCAAUGAAUGUUGAGCACUUCCCUGGUGUCCAGUGCAUAUCGACCUGUGGUUUUAUUGAUAUGAUAAGUCCCUAGGAGUUACUCUAUGAAAGUAGGACUGUACUCUCAGGAGCCCUGCGUGCCCUCACUUAACUUUGUCAUCUUUGUGGGCUUCUACUCUGCUGCCCUGAGAAUAACUGAAAACUAAUAGAAUUGAUGUGUAGUGUCCCAUUACCUUUGUCAUUGUUAGGAUAUUAGUAGAAUAGGUUUGAUUGAAAUAUACUCUCAAGAAUAUUACAAAACCAUUGCCUCUUAUGUACCAUCUGGAUGAAGUACCAAGUUCACAGACAGUUCUUCACAAACUUCCCAAGGCCAGCAAAUUGGAGCAUGAAGAAAGCCAAGUCCAAGGCAUUCAAAACCAGCAUCCUCACCAAUGCCCCUAUGAAAGGCUUUGCUAAAAAAAGGGAGGUUCGGAGAUAGAUAGAUCAUACACUCAGAGAAGAUUGUGCCAGGAGAAUUGGGGAAGGAUUGUAGGAGAGAGUAAUUAGGUGUCAGUAGUCAGUGAGCAGAACGUAAAAUGAAUAAGAUAAAAUAUAUAAAUAGAAAUAAAAUAAAGUUCUUUAACAAAAUGGGACACAAUGUAUAGCUGAACUAACUCUACUAUGUUUACACUAGCAAAUGCUUUAACAUUUAGAGAGAGAAGGUGUGAUAAAGUAGGAUGCCCUUGUCAUUUAUAUAUACUAUGUACAGAGCAAAGACAAAUAAUGUGGAGAACACGCAGAACAAAGAUCCACUGUUCCCUCACAUCUGUGUGCCUCUGCUUCCCUUUAUCAGGACUGUGGAAGCCUCUGCUCAUCCAGGUCUCAGGGCUCAACCAAAAUGCAGUCUCCUAUCAUCUCUGGCCAAUGCUCUUGUUUUCCCAACAAAACUCUGCCUCAGGCUGCAGAGGCACUGAAGGGCCAGCCUUCACCUUCAAGGUGCAACCACUCUUUCAGCCUUUCCAGGCUCUCUGUUACUCCACUGGAGGCUUCAGCAGAGGCCUUUCAUUUCAAUAACAGAAACUUACCUUAUCCAAAACAUGGGGAAGCCAUUCUACACUCCUGAUUGGCUGGUUACCUGAGAACAAACAACAUAGCUCUCUUCUUUAUGCCUUUUUCCUGAUUUGAAAGUAAAUAAUGUGAUCAUCUGUGGUGUUGGUUGUAAGAAUAAAAUCCUUAACAUGAAUAAUAGGACCAUGCAGAGCAUGGGCUUCACAUUCUAUGUACAAAGUGAAUAGCUAGAGGGAAUUACCAAAGAAAACAAUAAGAAUCCUAACAACAAUUACAAAAAUACUGAAACGAAAUAAAACAAAAAUAAAAGCAAAAACAAAAAACCUUUGGGUGCUGGAAUUAAAGGCAUGUAUUAACUCUGACUAGCUUUGUAGGUAUUUCCAAUAAAAAGCAAACAAACAAACAGCUGCAUUAUAGUUGCAGCAGUUGCAGGAAAGAAAGCUGGGAGAUGUCCUUUGAUGCUGACCCAGUGCUGUGAUUCUGUAGCAACAACUUCCUUGGGAAUAGGAACCUCUAUGCAGUGGGAUCCCUUGCUGGGCCUGUCAUCUCAAAAAUAGGAGCUUCCCUAAUCCAAAACCUUGGAAUCCAGUUUACUUCAGGCCAGGAAUGAAGUCAACCAUCAUUAGUGAAAGAGCAAGGUAAAACUUACAUAGGAAAAAUAUGUGCCUUAAUCAAAAAAGAUCCUCAACUUCUAAGGCCUCCACCAUCUCCACCUCUCUCUUUUGAUCUUUGCAUAGUGAUGUUGUAUAACUCCAGAUGGUAGUAAAAGGCAGAGUUCUUCCCAGAAAAGUCACACAUGAUUUUCACCCUGACAUCUGUGAGGUUAGGUGGCAUUGUAUCACAGAUGCAGCACACCCAGGAUAAGAACACAGAAGCCACAGAUGACAAUGCCAAAUGGAUUCCUUCCUGAACUUAUGGACCCAUUAAAAUUGAGGUUUAGCCUAACCUUAGGCCAUUCCACUACCUGCCCAUCCCCUUGAUUUUUAUGUUUGCUAUGAGUAAAAGAUUGGAGUGUGGCCCCAAAUAUCCUCAUGAUUGGACUUGGAAACUCAGGAAAAAUGAUAUUGGAGAAGGGAUGGCUAUGUGGUUACAAUGUGGUAACACAAGGUCCAGGUUGACGUUUGCUCACUGAUGUCAAAUUUAAUUGUCUUGUUAUAUUUGUGAGAGGAUGUUCAAAUUAGUAUAUAAAAGGUACAGAAAUUUAUUAUUUUGUGUGUGUCCUGUUGUUGAUCCCUAUGUUCCCAACAAAAAGGUUUUAUUGUAAAAAAUAGGAUUAUAGACCAUUGAUUUUGUGAAAUACAUGGAUGUGUAAAUGGAAACAAUGUCUGCUAUCAAGGACUGCACAGUAAGCAAAUAUUUCCAGGUUUUAAACAAUCAAAGGCAUAGAAGAAAGAUACUGGCCUCUAGAAAAAGGGAAAACCUUAGGAAUCAAAAUGUGUGUCACAUGCAUUGUCUCCGGUAGUAGAUUUACUUUUAAGAAAAAACUCCCUCAUUCAUGGUCCCUAGAGAUUUGGGUGCUAAGAAAAAUCUCUUCUCUAAUUCAGGGUUAUAAGCAACUCUCCCCAGCAAAAGCAUUGAUGACUUCUAAUGAAGCAGAGAGAAAUAUCUAGCUUUGGAAUAGAGGUUGCCAAAUGAUAUUCUUGGUGACACAUGAGAGACUGGAGGAAAGGGCCCCACAGAAAUUGAUCAAUUUGGGGAGAGCUAGUUAGCAGGUAGGCCAUGGAAUUUCCCAGUGACAUCAUCAGUAAGCCCUUCAGUGGACAAUCUAUUGUAUCUAAGAGAUCCCUAGAAUCUUCUGUGAUGUCACCAGUGUUGUGGUGACACCAACUGCCUUUAGAAUAUUCCUUCAGUUCCCUUUGGGUUCACAAAUAGGCAUGUUUCGCCAGCUGCUCAGGCUAUUUUGGAAGGAAAGUAGAAAUCAAGGAGAGACCACACCAAGGCAGAAGGCAGAUCAGGUCCUCUCUAGAAAAACAGGAAAGAUGAAAUAAUUCUGGGGAAGGCUUGGUGAGUCCUGGGCAGAGUUGGGGAACUUCCUCGAGGAGGUAGGUUUGAGAUGUACCUUCUAAGACUAGGCCUUACAAGUGGGACCCUUCGGCUUUCUCAAAGGUAAACCAAGAGUCAGGAGUUCCUGAUCAUUAAUUUGAGAGAAAGCCUGAAAUUGAGUCAACCUCCUUUGUACUUGACCCUGAGCUCCUUGGAUUAGCAUUGGUUCUGUCAACAGCUGGAAGAACCUGGUCACACUUGCUGCAUCUAAGUGAGCUAUCAAGGGACCGUUUAUUGUGACCUAGAAAUGGUGAAUGUGGUAACAAAUUCUGGACAUGUGUAAUUCCCAAACAGGUAUUUCACAGUCUCCACAUACUCCAGUACAGAGCAUCUUUGCAGAACCAUAUCUCCUCAGCCUUUUAAAGGGUCCUUAUUUCAAAAGAAAUGUUUGCUGAUUUGUGUAGAAAUAUUUCCUUGGAAGAAUUGUUAUUGGAUUCUCACUGUUGUGUUUUUACUCCAGUCUUUGUGUUUCCCACAUUCUUCUCUCCCCCCUCACUUUUUAAAUUUCAAAAAUUUUUGGAUGGUUUUUUUUUUUACAUUUCACCUAAUUAUGAAAUCAUGAGUUCAGAUGGUUAUUCAUUCCUUGGGCCAUGCCCUA